This is a long non-coding RNA of Micropterus dolomieu (smallmouth bass), 637 nucleotides long. RefSeq lists it as uncharacterized. The transcript has 2 exons. The record is from RefSeq and is a predicted model, not a curated record. NCBI's taxonomy places the organism in Eukaryota, Metazoa, Chordata, Actinopteri, Centrarchiformes, Centrarchidae.
CACGCGUUGACGUGUCGCGCUGCGUUUCCGACCUCUAGUAUGCGUCUUCUGCACGCACACGCACACACAGCUCUCUCAUGGGGACAUGCGGCCAGGAGACGCAGCCAGGGACUCCUGUCAGACUUCAAACAGCAAAUGGACACCCCAGGAAAGGCAGCGGAGAGUCCUCCAGCGCCCAUCUGUGGCAGUCAAAAUGGACACUAUAACGGCCAUCUUGCUUCCAGAAAUGGAGCCGAGGGACUGUACAACACUGAAAGGCAAAAAGGGGGAUGAGGAGGGAAAUGGCAGUUUAGCUCCUUUGCCACAUGCACCUCAACCUGUAAAUGCUCUUUUUAAAUCAGUCACUUUUUAUUUAUUUUAUUUACAUCCAAAAGGUUCUCUAUGUGCUGAAAAUUAAGAGUCUUCAGCCAUGCUAGCAGCUCUGUGAGUCUGUAGCUAACAUGCUCACUGGGACAAUGCUAAAAUAUUUUAUCUCACCAAUGUCAGUACGACAGACCCUCAGAUGCCCUUCCUACAGCCACACUGCUAGCGUGGCUAGGUGUAUUCCUUUGCAGGUAGUAUUGUGUGUAUUUAACAUGUUAGCGGUCCAGCUGAAGCCAUAAAGAGUCACUCUACAGUAAAAGUUGUACUAAAUUUA